AAACCGGAGCUAAUACCGGAUAAUAUAUUGAACCGCAUGGUUCAAUAGUGAAAGACGGUUUUGCUGUCACUUAUAGAUGGAUCCGCGCCGCAUUAGCUAGUGGUAAGGUAACGGCUUACCAAGGCAACGAUGCGUAGCCGACCUGAGAGGGUGAUCGGCCACACUGGAACUGAGACACGGUCCAG
RNAcentral lists this ribosomal RNA (185 nucleotides) under uncultured Staphylococcus sp. Its description in RNAcentral is "partial 16S ribosomal RNA". It matches the Rfam family "Bacterial small subunit ribosomal RNA", at positions 154 to 334 of the family's 1533-position model. Lineage: Bacteria; Bacillati; Bacillota; Bacilli; Caryophanales; Staphylococcaceae. The record is from RNAcentral.